This 253-nucleotide ribosomal RNA is filed under the name uncultured bacterium. RNAcentral's name for it is "partial 16S ribosomal RNA". It matches the Rfam family "Bacterial small subunit ribosomal RNA", at positions 524 to 776 of the family's 1533-position model. The record is from RNAcentral.
UACAGAGGGUGCGAGCGUUGUCCGGAAUCACUGGGCGUAAAGGGUGCGCAGGCGGCCAAAUGUGUGAGGCGUGAAAGCCCGGGGCUUAACCCCGGAAUUGCACCUCAAACUAUUUGGCUAGAGCAUUGGAGAGGGAAGCGGAAUUCACGGUGUAGCAGUGAAAUGCGUAGAUAUCGAGAGGAAUACCAACGGCGAAGGCAGGUCACUGGGCAGUUACCGACACUGAGGCACGAAGGCCAGGGGAGCAAACGGG